UUUUUAUGAUUUUGCCAGUAUCCUGCAGAAAUCCGAAAGUAUGACUAUGAUCCGAAUUUUGCAAUAAGAGGGCUUCAUUAUGAUGUGCAUCGGGCAUUAUUAAUGAAGAUUGAUGCUUUUCACUACAUUCAACUGGGAGCUGUGUACAGAGGAUUGAGUGUUGUACCAGAUGAAGAAGUCAUUGCUAUGUAUGAUGGUUCCCAUGUUCCCUUGGAACAAAUGAGCGACUUCUAUGGAAAG
Molecule: non-coding RNA, 240 nt
Organism: Notechis scutatus (mainland tiger snake)
Lineage: Eukaryota; Metazoa; Chordata; Lepidosauria; Squamata; Elapidae
Source: RefSeq, a predicted model, not a curated record